RNAcentral lists this ribosomal RNA (118 nucleotides) under Lepisosteus oculatus (spotted gar). The record is from RNAcentral. Lineage: Eukaryota; Metazoa; Chordata; Actinopteri; Semionotiformes; Lepisosteidae.
UCUAGCAGGCAUAUCACCCUAAAACUCACAACUGGCAAUCCACUGAAGCUCAGCAGGUGUGAGCCUGGUCAGUACCUGGAUGUGAGACCUCCUGGGAAAACUAAGGUUGCUGCUGGAA